This 253-nucleotide ribosomal RNA is filed under the name uncultured bacterium. RNAcentral describes it as "partial 16S ribosomal RNA". It matches the Rfam family "Bacterial small subunit ribosomal RNA", at positions 524 to 776 of the family's 1533-position model. The record is from RNAcentral.
UACGUAGGGAGCAAGCGUUGUCCGGAAUCAUUGGGCGUAAAGCGCGCGUAGGUGGCCUCGUAAGUCCGCUGUGAAAGUCAAAGGCUCAACCUUUGAAAGCCGGUGGAUACUGCGGGGCUAGAGUACGGAAGAGGCGAGUGGAGUUCCUGGUGUAGCGGUGGAAUGCGCAGAUAUCAGGAGGAACACCAAUAGCGAAGGCAGCUCGCUGGGACGUUACUGACACUAAGGCGCGAAAGCGUGGGGAGCGAACAGG